GAUCCUGGCUCAGGAUAAACGACUGCGGCGCACAUAAGACAUGCAAGUCGAACGAACUUAAUACCUUGCUUGCAAGGUAAGCGGUUAGUGGCGGACUGGUGAGUAACACGUAAGAAAUCUGCCUAUCAGAGGGGAAUAACAAGUGAGAAAUCACUGCUAAUACCGCAUAUGCCAUAACUAUCGCAUGAUAGAAGUGGGAAAGGAGCAAUCCGCUGAUAGAUGAGCUUGCGUCUGAUUAGCUAGUUGGUGGGGUAAAGGCCUACCAAGGCGACGAUCAGUAGCCGGACUGAGAGGUUGAACGGCCACAUUGGGACUGAGAUACGGCCCAGACUCCUACGGGAGGCAGCAGUCGGGAAUAUUGCGCAAUGGAGGAAACUCUGACGCAGUGACGCCGCGUAUAGGAAGAAGGUUUUCGGAUUGUAAACUAUUGUCCACAGGGAAGAAAAAGACUGUACCUGUGAAGCAAGCUCCGGCUAACUACGUG
This 484-nucleotide ribosomal RNA is filed under the name uncultured Eubacteriales bacterium. RNAcentral describes it as "bacterial SSU rRNA". It matches the Rfam family "Bacterial small subunit ribosomal RNA", at positions 15 to 507 of the family's 1533-position model. The record is from RNAcentral. Lineage: Bacteria; Bacillati; Bacillota; Clostridia; Eubacteriales.